This is a long non-coding RNA of Cydia pomonella (codling moth), 1811 nucleotides long. RefSeq lists it as uncharacterized. The record is from RefSeq and is a predicted model, not a curated record. The transcript is spliced from 2 exons. Lineage: Eukaryota; Metazoa; Arthropoda; Insecta; Lepidoptera; Tortricidae.
UGCGUGAUAAGAUAAAAUGUUCCCCAGGUAUGAUGGUCGAGUUUUGUCGUUCCGCGAUAAACGUUAUAAACGUGGCCAUCAUUGACCCUUCGACUAAUUUCGAAUGCAUGUUGAUGUUGCUCUGGUGUGUCAAAUUAAAAGGAAAGCUGCAAGUAAGAUGACGUGGUAGAGUAGUCGUUUCGUUGUCGGCCGUGUGAUGUGUUGGUGUGCGCGAGUGUGACGGCUGUGUGUCGCAGCGGCCGACGACGCGGUGCCGCGCCGGCCGCGCUUCUCGCGCGCCGCCUCCACCGACAAGAACCAAGGGCCGGGCGGCGCCGGCGCCGGCGUGCGGCAGACGUACACGUACGAGACGCUGGUGCAGUACGCGGACUCGCCGCUCAGCAAGCUGCCGCCGGCCGGGCUGGCCGCCUUCCCGCCGGAGCUGGCGCGCAAGGUAACGCACUGCGCGCGCCUUCAUAUAUCUAACGCGACUUCGAUUAAGUCCCGUUUGUGUUAGUUAAUAAUGUCUAAAAAUCGUGAAAGUUUAAAUCAGUGUUUUCCCUUGAUGUCCCAUAGUCCUGGGACACCCUGUAUAAAUCCCUGCUUAACUUACCCCAACCUAAUGUAGGUCGAGAUCAAUGUGCUCACUGCGCUUUCCUUUGUUUCUGGACCCUGCACUGCGACAAAUAUUAUGUCACUACAUUUCCUUUACUAUGGCUCCAAACGGUCUCCGUAGCCCAGUUGGUAGUGACCCUGCCUACGAAGCUAGAGGUCCCAGGUUCGAAUCCCGGUAAGGGCAAUUAUUUAUUUGAGCGUUGAUGGAAUCUAAAAUGGACUCGGCUAUUGGGUGAAAGCGAUGGACUUAGUAUUUGUAUUAUUACAUAUAUCGUUGUCAGAGGAUCCACAACACAAGCCUUUUUGAGCUUAAUAUGGGCCUAUAUAAUGUUGAUUUGUGUAAGAUUGUCCCAUAAUUACCCAACUGCGUCUGAGGAGGGUAAUGUUUUGUGAUUAAUUUAUUUUAUUUAUUUAUGCCCUCCAAUUUUGUGGUCAAUAAAGGUAAAAUGAACUUUAAUGCGAGUAAAAUAAAGGUUAUAUUUGUAAUCAACGGAAACAAAUGCUUUGAACAACAAAUUUAUUGCGUUUGUUUGUCUAAAUCUUUUUUCUUGGCAGUAAUACCCUGUUGCAGCGUAAGUAAUGGCGAAAACGCAAUUCGUUAUAUUAAUUGCAUAUUUCGUUUUGUUUGUGUUUGUGUUCCAAUUUUCAUAAUAUAUUGUCAUUAUCUGUCGAAGUUGUACCAUUUAGCCGUUUCUCAAUGGCGCUCUUUACAUAAAGAUGUUUUUUUUUUCAUUCACAACUGAUUAUAUUCUAUCUUCCUCUGAUGUUGUUUUCAUAAUAUAAAAAUCUUGUAAACUGAUAAAAUGGACGCUCGAUAUUGGUCUGGUCUGUCAUUGCCUUUUAGUUCGUAUAGCUACCGUUGGCGCUUGUUGCGUAUGCAGCUGUAAUGUUCAGCCAAGGUAUGGUUGGACCGGACCGAUACAGUGUUAUGUUUACGAUGCUUGAUAUAUAAAUAAUCUUUACUUAAUUUAGUCGUUAUCUUUUAUCUAUUUUUCAAUUUGUUCACUCUAUAUUAUUUUAUGUCUUUUUCCUUCUUGUCUGUUACCUUUCGUGAUUUUUCUCACUUGAUGGUCUCAUCGGAAGAUCAGCGCUGGAAGCCACCAGCAACAUGCUGAGAUGAGGCCAUUUCGUGGCACUUUAUACUUCCUUUGUUUUUGUUAUAUCAUGUAAUUUAAUGUGUCUUGUUUGUGUCUACGAAUAAAAAAUAUUCUAUUCUA